RNAcentral lists this ribosomal RNA (482 nucleotides) under uncultured bacterium. RNAcentral's name for it is "partial 16S ribosomal RNA". It matches the Rfam family "Bacterial small subunit ribosomal RNA", at positions 30 to 507 of the family's 1533-position model. The record is from RNAcentral.
AUUGAACGCUGGCGGCAUGCCUUACACAUGCAAGUCGAACGGUAACGCGCCUUCCGGUGCGGACGCGUGGCGCACGGGGGAGUAAUACGUCGCAGCAUGCCCGCACGAGGGGGGUAACGAGGCGCAAGCUUGGCUCUUACCCCAUACGAUCUCCGGAUGAAAGCACAGGGCAGCAUAGCCUUUCGCGCACUGGGCGGCCGAUGGCAGAUUAGCUAGUUGGUGGGAUAAAAGCUUACCAAGCCGACGAUCUGUAGCUGGUCUGAGAGGACGAGCAGCCACACUGGGACUGAGACACGGCCCAGACUCCUACGGGAGGCAGCAGUGGGGAAUUUUGGACAAUGGGGGCAAGCCUGAUCCAGCCAUCCCGCGUGUAGGAUGAAGGCCUUCGGGUUGUAAACUGCUUUUGGACGGAAAGAAAAGUCGUCGUUUAAUACAGGGUGGACAUGACGGUACCGUAAGAAUAAGCACCGGCUAACUACGUG